RNAcentral lists this ribosomal RNA (454 nucleotides) under uncultured bacterium. RNAcentral describes it as "partial 16S ribosomal RNA". It matches the Rfam family "Bacterial small subunit ribosomal RNA", at positions 28 to 507 of the family's 1533-position model. The record is from RNAcentral.
GAUGAACGCUGACAGAAUGCUUAACACAUGCAAGUCAACUUGAACUUCGGUUUGGGUGGCGGACGGGUGAGUAACGCGUACAGAACUUGCCUCACAGCUAGGGACAACAUUUGGAAACGAAUGCUAAUACCUGAUAUUAUGAUUAUAUGGCAUCGUAUAAUUAUGAAAGCUAUAUGCGCUGUGAGAGAGCUUUGCGUCCCAUUAGCUAGUUGGAGAGGUAACAGCUCACCAAGGCGAUGAUGGGUAGCCGGCCUGAGAGGGUGAUCGGCCACAAGGGGACUGAGACACGGCCCUUACGCAUACGGGAGGCAGCAGUGGGGAAUAUUGGACAAUGGACCGAGAGUCUGAUCCAGCAAUUCUGUGUGCACGAUGAAGUUUUUCGGAAUGUAAAGUGCUUUCAGUUGGGAAGAAAAAAAUGACGGUACCAACAGAAGAAGUGACGGCUAAAUACGUG